RNAcentral lists this long non-coding RNA (293 nucleotides) under Chloebia gouldiae (Gouldian finch). RNAcentral's name for it is "Erythrura gouldiae (Gouldian finch) lncRNA (ENSEGOG00005003041.1)". Lineage: Eukaryota; Metazoa; Chordata; Aves; Passeriformes; Passeridae. The record is from RNAcentral.
GAACAGUAUUAAAUGACUGCACAGGAGAGCAUACUUCACACUCCAAAAAUUUUCAUGAGCUCAAAGACAGUAUUAGCAGCCUUUCUUUUUGGGUCUUCCAGAGACAUGCUGCCUGCUUAAACAUGGUGGGACCAAACCAGCUCUGUCCUCCUUGUACUGCACACAGGCGGUGCUGCUUACUGCUGAUGGAAAAUAACACAUCCUACAAGGAGAAAGGCAAUUUCUCUGCUUGGAGUAGGAACCAGCCCAUCUUUCCUUUUGCCAUCCCUAGAACUGGGCCAGAUCCUCAGUAA